Pelobates cultripes (western spadefoot toad) is the source of this 219-nucleotide non-coding RNA. The record is from the annotation of a GenBank genome assembly. NCBI's taxonomy places the organism in Eukaryota, Metazoa, Chordata, Amphibia, Anura, Pelobatidae.
CUCCAGUCAAUUUGGUCAUACCUAAGCCGUCUAAAUUAAAAUAUGCUCCUCCUCUUGUCCAUCUCGGGAGUUCCCGUCUGGUUUGUGGUUGUAUAGUCGUUCGUAGAAUUCUUCAAAGACCGUCGCAAUGUCUGUUGGUUUUGUUUUUGUUGUGCCGUCCGAAUGUUUGAUGGCUGUGAUGUGACACCGGUCUUGCCUAGGUUGUAGCGUCCUGGCUAG